UACGUAGGUGGCGAGCGUUGUCCGGAAUUAUUGGGCGUAAAGAGCAUGUAGGCGGCUUAAUAAGUCGAGCGUGAAAAUGCGGGGCUCAACCCCGUAUGGCGCUGGAAACUGUUAGGCUUGAGUGCAGGAGAGGAAAGGGGAAUUCCCAGUGUAGCGGUGAAAUGCGUAGAUAUUGGGAGGAACACCAGUGGCGAAGGCGCCUUUCUGGACUGUGUCUGACGCUGAGAUGCGAAAGCCAGGGUAGCGAACGG
RNAcentral lists this ribosomal RNA (251 nucleotides) under uncultured bacterium. Its description in RNAcentral is "partial 16S ribosomal RNA". It matches the Rfam family "Bacterial small subunit ribosomal RNA", at positions 524 to 775 of the family's 1533-position model. The record is from RNAcentral.